UAUAUAUAUAUAUACUAUAUGUAUAUUGUGCUCGCAGAGAAGAUUAGCAUGGCCCCUGCGAAAGGAUGACAUGCAAAUCCGUGAAGCGCUCCAUAUUUUU
Molecule: small nuclear RNA, 100 nt
Organism: Pygocentrus nattereri (red-bellied piranha)
Lineage: Eukaryota; Metazoa; Chordata; Actinopteri; Characiformes; Serrasalmidae
Source: Ensembl